Oncorhynchus tshawytscha (Chinook salmon) is the source of this 1144-nucleotide long non-coding RNA. NCBI's taxonomy places the organism in Eukaryota, Metazoa, Chordata, Actinopteri, Salmoniformes, Salmonidae. The record is from Ensembl.
CCGGAAUCAGAAAAGUGGAUAUGCAAUAAUGAAAUACCUAGAGUCGCAUUAUAGAUCCCAAACUUUAAAAAUAUAUAUAUUCUCGGAUUUCUCCCACAAGACAUGAUUAAGAUAAGCACAUACUGUGGAAUCUGGAGCUGUAUUUAUGCUUUAACCCUGUCAUGUUUGUUUGGGCUGGUUUAUGUAUUAUUAAUCGUUUGUGAGGAAGAGGGUUAGCAUUCUACAGGCAGUAUUUUAAAAACUGUAAUCUGCCAAUUACCACCACCUGGUGGUGAGCUAUCAAACUAUGAGGGCAACACAUUUUGACCACAUAUGUAAUGAAGAAAAUGGAGACCAAAGAAAACAUUUCUUAACCCCCCCCACAGAGCUUCUGCAAGCUUUGACUGCAUCUCACCAAAAAUAUGUUACUUACAUGUCUUGAUGUUUUCCUGUAGCUACAUUGUUGCUUUAUAACAACACAUCACCUCACUAUCUGGAGUCAGAAAACUGUUGAUAAAACUGUCCAGGCUGGCAUGCAUUAAUGGAUACUGUUGGCAUACACACAGCUUAAGUGCUUUGGAUAUAUUAGCCCUGAACUCUCUGAGGGAUCCAUUUCACAGGGCUCUUCCUGUCAAUAAAAUCCCUAAAUUCAGAUUGAGAGAAAGACAUCCACCAUCUGAAUGUACUCUGAUGAGCAUCGAUCCCUGGAAACUAAUACCGUUCACCAGCCAAAUCCGGUGUCAGUUUACCAGCAAUGACACUCCCUGGUGCCACCCUAAAAAGCUGAGGGUAAUAGGAGAUCAAGGGUUUUCCACAUCCCUCUGAUUUGGAAAAGCAGGUAAUGUUUUGUAAAGUGGAAUACCAGAAAGACUUUAACAUACGGUUGUGAAGGGCCAUAAAAGAGACACUGUUAUUGCUCUCCCUAAACAUGCACAAACAAACAAAAUCAUAUUUUUGACAACAAAAACAAUGACCUUUUUGUUUCUGUAUCUUAUCUGAAGGUUCUGCAGUGAUUUAUUCAUUCUUGCCUUGUGGUAGAAUUUAGAAACAUGUCUAUCAUGUCUGUGUGAGCCUUGAGGCAUUUGUAUACUGAACAAAAAUGUAAACGCAACAUGUUUUGGUCCUAUGUUUCAUGACCUGAAAUAAAAGAUUACAGAAAUGUCCC